RNAcentral lists this ribosomal RNA (467 nucleotides) under uncultured bacterium. RNAcentral's name for it is "partial 16S ribosomal RNA". It matches the Rfam family "Bacterial small subunit ribosomal RNA", at positions 28 to 506 of the family's 1533-position model. The record is from RNAcentral.
GACGAACGCUGGCGGCGUGCUUAACACAUGCAAGUCGAACGGAAAGGCCCUGCUUUUGUGGGGUGCUCGAGUGGCGAACGGGUGAGUAACACGUGAGUAACCUGCCCUUGACUUUGGGAUAACUUCAGGAAACUGGGGCUAAUACCGGAUAGGAGCUCCUGCUGCAUGGUGGGGGUUGGAAAGUUUCGGCGGUUGGGGAUGGACUCGCGGCUUAUCAGCUUGUUGGUGGGGUAGUGGCUUACCAAGGCUUUGACGGGUAGCCGGCCUGAGAGGGUGACCGGCCACAUUGGGACUGAGAUACGGCCCAGACUCCUACGGGAGGCAGCAGUGGGGAAUAUUGCACAAUGGGCGGACGCCUGAUGCAGCAACGCCGCGUGCGGGAUGACGGCCUUCGGGUUGUAAACCGCUUUCGCCUGUGACGAAGCGUGAGUGACGGUAAUGGGUAAAGAAGCACCGGCUAACUACGU